UCCUGAGAUCAAAAUACAUAAGGAUAGCAUGACAAACCCUUCCAAAAAAAAUCUGGAUCUUCAUCUCAGAUUUUGAGAAAAUUCCAAGGCUAUAGGCUUACUGUUUUUUUCGGCAAAAAAGUGAAGCAUUUGCUAGAAUAAUUCUAGGAUGCUUUUCCUACGUGAAAAAGCGUAUCGAACAAGAGGCCGUCAAUGAAAUUAAGCUGGCGUAAGAUUCCAUCGAGAUUCGGAUUCCUGAGAUCAAAAUACAUGAGGAUAGCAUGACAAACCCUUCCAAAAAAAAUCUGGAUCUUCAUCUCAGAUUUUGAGAAAAUUCCAAGGCUAUAGGCUUACUGUUUUUUUCGGCAAAAAAGUAAAGCAUUUGCUAGAAUAAUUCUAGGACGCUUUUCCUACGUGAAAAAGCGUAUCGAACAAGAGGCCGUCAAUGAAAUUGAGCUGGCGUAAGAUUCCAUCGAGAUUCGGAUUCCUGAGAUCAAAAUACAUGAGGAUAGCGUGGGGAACCCUUGAAAAAAAAAUCUCUCCUCUCAUCUCAGAUUUUGAGAAAAUUCCAAGGCUAUAGGCUUACUGUUUUUUUCGGCAAAAAAGUAAAGCAUUUGCUAGAAUAAUUCUAGGACGCUUUUUCUACGUGAAAAAGCGUAUCGAACAAGAGGCCGUCAAUGAAAUUGAGCUGGCGUAAGAUUCCAUCGAGAUUCGGAUUCCUGAGAUCAAAAUACAUAAGGAUAGCAUGACAAACCCUUCCAAAAAAAAUCUGGAUCUUCAUCUCAGAUUUUGAGAAAAUUCCAAGGCUAUAGGCUUACUGUUUUUUUCGGCAAAAAAGUGAAGCAUUUGCCGGAAUAAUUUCGGGACGCUUUUUCUAUGUAAAAAAGCGUAUCGAACGCGAAGCCGUCAAUAAAAUUGAGCUGGCGUAAGAUUCCAUCGAGAUUCGGAUUCCUGAGAUCAAAAUACAUGAGGAUAGCGUGGGGAACCCUUCCAAAAAAAAUCUGGAUCUUCAUCUCAGAUUUUGAGAAAAUUCCAAGGCUAUAGGCUUACUGUUCUUCCCGGCAAAAAAGUGGAGUAUCCCUCAGAAUGAUUUCAGGACGCUUCUCCUAUGAAGAAAAGCGUAUCGAACAAGAAGCCGCCAAUCAAAUUAAGCUGGCAUUCGGAUUCCUGAGAUCAAAAUAUAUCGGAAUAACAUAGAAAUUCUCAUAAAGAAAAUUCUCAAGAGAUACUCUGAAAAGAUGCGCCUAGACCUGGUGCCUCAUCAUGUGCAUGCCUUCAUUUCUGUGUAAUAAAUCAUACUCUUACAGGGUAUGAUGAAGACAUAAGCUAGUUGCAUGCUGGGCUGAUUUUAUGCAAUCAUAUGUAUUUAAUUUCACUCUUAUCAAUAAAUUUGCU
Athalia rosae (coleseed sawfly) is the source of this 1374-nucleotide long non-coding RNA. RefSeq lists it as uncharacterized. NCBI's taxonomy places the organism in Eukaryota, Metazoa, Arthropoda, Insecta, Hymenoptera, Athaliidae. The record is from RefSeq and is a predicted model, not a curated record. The transcript is spliced from 6 exons.